RNAcentral lists this transfer-messenger RNA (348 nucleotides) under Acidimicrobiaceae bacterium. It matches the Rfam family "transfer-messenger RNA". From Rfam's summary of the family: Bacterial tmRNA, also known as 10Sa RNA or SsrA, is named for its dual tRNA and mRNA-like properties. Its role is to liberate the mRNA from a stalled ribosome. To accomplish this part of the tmRNA is used as a reading frame that ends in a translation stop signal. Lineage: Bacteria; Bacillati; Actinomycetota; Acidimicrobiia; Acidimicrobiales; Acidimicrobiaceae. The record is from RNAcentral.
GGGGAUGAAUGGAUUCGACGUCUGACGUUGAGGUGAGAGAAGCGAGCCGUGGUCUCCGGAACCACGUAAAAGAGCCGGAAACAAAAAUAAACGCCAAGCUUCAGCUUGUGCUUGCUGCUUAGGUAGCAACGUCCACCUGUGCCCAGUCCUGCGGCGCAGAUUAUGGGCGUCAAAAAAGUGGGACUUACCUUCGACACUCGUUAGUGGUGACGCCGGGACAAUUUAGCUAACUACGGAUCACUUCUGGUGCACACAGUGGUGGUGAUCUCGACAAUUUCCUGUGCGCUGCGCUCGGAGAAGGAUCACUAAGAAACAGGCGGACCCGGGCUCGUAACCCGGCAUCUCCAA